AGAGUUUGAUCCUGGCUCAGAGCGAACGCUGGCGGCGUGCUUAACACAUGCAAGUCGAACGCGCAGCAUUCUGUAGCAAUACAGGGUGUGGGCGCGUGGCGAACGGGUGCGUAACACGUGGAUAACCUUCCUUCAGGUGGGGAAUAACCCAGUGAAAAUUGGGCUAAUACCGCAUAACAUCGCGAUGGCACAUGCUGUUGCGUUCAAAGGCGCAAGUCGCCAGAAGAGGGAUCCGCGGCCGAUUAGCUUGUUGGCGGGGUAACGGCCCACCAAGGCUUUGAUCGGUAGCCGGACUGAGAGGUUGGCCGGCCACACUGGAACUGAGACACGGUCCAGACUCCUACGGGAGGCAGCAGUGGGGAAUCUUGCACAAUGGACGAAAGUCUGAUGCAGCAACGCCGCGUGGGGGAUGAAGCUUCUCGGAGUGUAAACCCCUUUCGACCCGGACGAAUGCCCGCAAGGGCUUGACGGUACGGGUAUAAGAAGCCCCGGCUAACUACGUGCCAGCAGCCGCGGUAAUACGUAGGGGGCCAGCGUUGCUCGGAAUUACUGGGCGUAAAGGGUCCGUAGGCGGUGCGGCAAGUCGAUAGUGAAAUCUCUGGGCUUAACUCAGAGGCUGCUAACGAAACUGCCGUGCUAGAGUGUGAGAGAGGCGAGUGGAAUUACGGGUGUAGCGGUGAAAUGCGUAGAUAUCCGUAGGAACAUCCGAGGCGAAAGCGGCUCGCUGGAUCACAACUGACGCUGAGGGACGAAAGCUAGGGGAGCAAACAGGAUUAGAUACCCUGGUAGUCCUAGCCCUAAACCAUCAGGACUUGGGGUUUGCCCUGUACGGGGCAAGUCCCGUAGCUAACGCGUUAAGUCCUGCGCCUGGGGAGUACGGUCGCAAGGCUGAACUCAAGGAAUUGACGGGGGCCCGCACAAGCGGUGGAACAUGUGGUUCAAUUCGACGCAACGCGAAGAACCUUACCUGGGCUUGAACCGCACAGGACCAGCUUUAGA
Molecule: ribosomal RNA, 999 nt
Filed under: uncultured bacterium
Lineage: Bacteria
Description: bacterial SSU rRNA
Rfam family: Bacterial small subunit ribosomal RNA
Source: RNAcentral